CAGUUCUUUGUCUAGAACUCCAGGUCACGUGGGCCCCGCUGGAGGGCCUGGUUGGCUGCGCACGGGCCGGGGGAGGGGGCCGGCCUCCGACGCUGGCGGCGGGCCAGCCCCUCUCCGGGUCCGAGGGGCGCGGAGGCCCGGGGGUGAGGCCGGCCUGCGCCCGUUCCCAGCGCCCCGCCCCGGCCGGCUCGCCCUGCCCCCUCUCCGCGACUCCGGAGGCGAUUAGCGCGGGCCCCGAGCGAGGCGGGGAGCCCGCGGGCGUCGGGGAGGAGGGCGCCGGGCCGGGGUGCGGCUGCGGGCCCCGGGGACCCCAGCGUCCCCGGGGGGCGGGAGCGGAGCCUUCCGGAGAGUCUGGGAGAGUCAGGAGAAAGUUGGAGAAAGUGAGUUCCGCAGAAGCACGACCAAAGCAAGGAAGAGAGAAACCUUACAGAUAAGAGGCGCGGGCCAGGAGUUUAGGGAAACGCAGAGCGUAUAGGCGGAGGCGGACAGAAGGCGCCCGACGGAAACCGCCAGCUCCCAAACGAGGGCCGAUCUGGCCCAGGUGGACAGGGAGCUGGGCCUCGCCAAGGCCGACUGAGACGCUGCGGAGCCCUCUCUGGCCACGUCGGGGCCGGGGGCCGGUCACGCUGGCUCCUGUGGAGCACAGGAUCUCACGUUCAGGGUGCAAGGCUGGGGAUGAGGACGCUUCUUCACGGGGACAGCAGUGCCUUCGUGCCCAGCGCGGUCCGGGCGGCUCAGGACGACUUUACGGCUCCUGAGGCCUCCAGAAGCAGGCUCGGUCCCCGCGGCGGACAGUCCCCUUCCACCGCUGUCCCUUAGCGAUGACAUCAGCUCCCUGCAGACCAGCGCCCUGGGGACAACCAGAGAACCAACUCCACAGGCAGCUGGGACAUCAGAGCAGGAGAGCCCCUGAGAGGAGAGGAAUCCAAAUCCGGUGGCCUUCUCCGGAGAGAACUGGCAGACAAGACAUAAACGUCCCUGCCAACCCUGGAUGCACACACAAGAAGGAGCCAUCCUGAAAAAACACAGGCUGGCUUCCGCCCCAACUCAUCUUGCAGAUCAGUCAAGUUGCUUUCAGAGGAUGCUAAAAGGAGGAACUCCUGGAUGAAAAGAAGAUGGGAAUGUCAAGAGCCUACAAGAGGUGCUGGAGAGAAGGGGCCAGCGUGGCCCAACAGAGGGUAACCUCACAGGCAGGGUGCAUUUCUGUCUGGCAGGCAGCCGGCAGUAACUCAACAGGCCAUCAACGCUGAUCAAGACGCCUCUGGGGUCACCUGACCCAGCCCCAACCCCAUACUCCUCAAGCACAUGUCUAAUUCUGAUUACAUUCUCCAGUUACUCUCCAACCAGUGAGUUGCCAGAAAACAACACAGCAAGUGUUGUGAUCGACCCUUCUAAAAAGGACUCGUCCUGUUAGAAGUUGGUCGCUUCACCCUCUGGUGUACUUCACCCUUCUUAACUACGAGCGUAAUCACAAGUGUGCAGACUUGGCUUUCCAGUCCUACAGAACUGAGGUGAGACCCUAGGCCCCAGACCCCACCAAAAAGCGGUAACACCUAAAGGUCUGGGGGCAACAGUCAUGCCUGCUUGACUAGUUUUAACUACAAGUUCAGCACUCUAGCGUGUCUUCUCAUAUAAUGCCAUCCUGGCAGGGUGAGUGCUGCCACCCAUUACCACCCAAGUCCCCUCACUCAAAGGCAGAGAAGCCACAGCCCUGUGAAGCCACCUGCAAAUCAAGGCAUCUGCUGCACACAUCACCGGCCUCCCACCAGGGAGAUCAGUCCAGACAAAAGGCCACACAGUCAGUGGGGGUGUCUACUCUGAGCCUGUCCUCCUUCCGCCUACAGCUCAGAAGCCUCAGUGCCAACUGAGUAUCUGUGUUUCAUCCAGGGCUCCCACAAACCUGGAAGCCUCGGGGAUACAUGCACAGCCCGUGCUCAGCAACCCACCUGCUGUUCCUCAUGCCGUUCCCUCAACUUCCACCAGCCCCCAUCCUACCCGUCCUGCUACAUCAGUUCACCAAUUACUUCCCCCAAGAAAGUUUCUCUAGCCCUGCCCUGUCCACUGAGGUAGCUGCUAGGCUGCAUGUGGCUAUUUUUCUUCUUUUUUUUUUUUUUUAGGUACCAGGGAUUGAACUCAGGACCUUGCACUUGCAAG
This is a non-coding RNA of Heterocephalus glaber (naked mole-rat), 2154 nucleotides long. The record is from RefSeq and is a predicted model, not a curated record. Lineage: Eukaryota; Metazoa; Chordata; Mammalia; Rodentia; Bathyergidae.